AACAAAUUGAACAUGUUUAUCCACCUGAGAAUCAAACUCAAUUCGCCAUGGCUUAUUACGUCAUCAACUACUCCAAACUCCGUAUCUGCA
Long non-coding RNA from Telopea speciosissima, 90 nucleotides. RefSeq lists it as uncharacterized. The record is from RefSeq and is a predicted model, not a curated record. The transcript has 3 exons. NCBI's taxonomy places the organism in Eukaryota, Viridiplantae, Streptophyta, Magnoliopsida, Proteales, Proteaceae.